GAUGAAGAACGCAGCGAAAUGCGAUAAGUAAUGUGAAUUGCAGAAUUCAGUGAAUCAUCGGAUCUUUGAACGCACAUUGCGCCCGCCAGUAUUCUGGCGGGCAUGCCUGUUCGAGCGUCAUUUCAACCAUCAAGCCCUGCUUGCGUUGGGGUCCUGCGGCUGCCCGCAGGCCCUGAAAACCAGUGGCGGGCUCGCUAGUCACACCGAGCGCAGUAAUACAUCUCGCUUUGGGCGUGCGGCGGGUUCUUGCCGUUAAACACCCCCUUUUUACCAAGGUUGACCUCGGAUCAGGUAGGAAUACCCGCUGAACUUAAGCAUAUCAAUAAGCGGAGGA
This 334-nucleotide unclassified non-coding RNA is filed under the name soil metagenome. RNAcentral's name for it is "partial contains 5.8S ribosomal RNA, internal transcribed spacer 2, and large subunit ribosomal RNA". The stretch from base 1 to 120 matches the Rfam family "5.8S ribosomal RNA", at positions 35 to 154 of the family's 154-position model. The record is from RNAcentral.